GAUCCUGGCUCAGGAUGAACGCUAGCUACAGGCUUAACACAUGCAAGUCGAGGGGCAGCAUGAAAGUAGCUUGCUACUUUGAUGGCGACCGGCGCACGGGUGCGUAACGCGUAUCCAAUCUACCCAUGGCUUAGGGAUAGCCUUUCGAAAGAAAGAUUAAUACCUGAUGGUUUCGCUUUUCCGCAUGGUUUGGCGAAUAAAGAUUUAUCGGCGAUGGAUGAGGAUGCGACUGAUUAGGUUGUUGGCGGGGUAACGGCCCACCAAGCCGACGAUCAGUAGGGGUUCUGAGAGGAAGGUCCCCCACAUUGGAACUGAGACACGGUCCAAACUCCUACGGGAGGCAGCAGUGAGGAAUAUUGGUCAAUGGACGAGAGUCUGAACCAGCCAAGUAGCGUGAAGGAUGACGGCCCUAUGGGUUGUAAACUUCUUUUGUUUGGGAAUAAAGUGCUCUACGUGUAGAGUUUUGUAUGUACCUUACGAAUAAGCAUCGGCUAAUUCCGUGCCAGCAGCUGC
Molecule: ribosomal RNA, 513 nt
Filed under: uncultured bacterium
Lineage: Bacteria
Description: bacterial SSU rRNA
Rfam family: Bacterial small subunit ribosomal RNA
Source: RNAcentral